AUUGAACGCUGGCGGCAUGCUUUACACAUGCCAGUCGAACGGCAGCGCGGGCUUCGGCCUGGCGGCGAGUGGCGAACGGGUGAGUAAUACAUCGGAACGUGCCCAGUAGUGGGGGAUAGCUCGGCGAAAGCCGGAUUAAUACCGCAUACGGCCUGAGGGUGAAAGCGGGGGAUCUUCGGACCUCGCGCUAUUGGAGCGGCCGAUGGCAGAUUAGCUAGUUGGUGGGGUAAAGGCCUACCAAGGCGACGAUCUGUAGCUGGUCUGAGAGGACGACCAGCCACACUGGGACUGAGACACGGCCCAGACUCCUACGGGAGGCAGCAGUGGGGAAUUUUGGACAAUGGGCGAAAGCCUGAUCCAGCAAUGCCGCGUGUGUGAUGAUGGCCUUCGGGUUGUAAAGCACUUUUGGCGGGAACGAAAAGGACUGUGCCAAUACCACGGUUCGAUGACGGUACCCGCAGAAUAAGCACCAGCUAACUACGUG
Molecule: ribosomal RNA, 484 nt
Filed under: uncultured bacterium
Lineage: Bacteria
Description: partial 16S ribosomal RNA
Rfam family: Bacterial small subunit ribosomal RNA
Source: RNAcentral